CCUACGGGGGGCAGCAGUGGGGAAUAUUGCACAAUGGGGGAAACCCUGAUGCAGCGACGCCGCGUGAAGGACGAAGUAUUUCGGUACGUAAACUUCUAUCAGCAGGGAAGAAAAUGACGGUACCUGACCAAGAAGCCCCGGCUAACUACGUGCCAGCAGCCGCGGUAAUACGUAGGGGGCAAGCGUUAUCCGGAUUCACUGGGCGUAAAGGGAGCGCAGGCGGCACGGCAAGUCUGGUGUGAAAGCCCGGGGCCCAACCCCGGGACUGCAUUGGAAACUGCCGGGCUGGAGUGCCGGAGGGGUAA
RNAcentral lists this ribosomal RNA (305 nucleotides) under uncultured bacterium. Its description in RNAcentral is "bacterial SSU rRNA". It matches the Rfam family "Bacterial small subunit ribosomal RNA", at positions 338 to 660 of the family's 1533-position model. The record is from RNAcentral.